GCUGGGCGUGGCAGCGGGUGCCUGUAAUCCCAGCUACUCAGGAGGCUGAGUCAGGAGAAUCGCUUGAACCUGGGAGGCAGAGAUUGCAGUGAGCUGAGAUCGAGCCACUGCGCUCCCGCCUAGGUGACAGAGAGAGACUCUGUCUCAA
RNAcentral lists this non-coding RNA (148 nucleotides) under Chlorocebus sabaeus (green monkey). The record is from Rfam by way of RNAcentral. Lineage: Eukaryota; Metazoa; Chordata; Mammalia; Primates; Cercopithecidae.